Molecule: long non-coding RNA, 1581 nt
Filed under: Nicotiana tabacum (common tobacco)
Lineage: Eukaryota; Viridiplantae; Streptophyta; Magnoliopsida; Solanales; Solanaceae
Description: long non-coding RNA (NTAB_LNC013462)
Source: RNAcentral
UUUUUGGGGAUAUUCAAAUGAGAACCUAAUCCUCUUUGGCAUGGUGAUUAAUAACUACUACCCCAUUUUAACACCACCCAAAAAUAUUAAUGGUGGAUAAAUUGGUGAAAAUUUUAGUUUUAUAGGCAUAGUUGAUUGGAAGCAAAAAUGGGUUAGAUGAAAAAUUGGUGCAUUCGUCAGAUCAAUGAUUAACAAUUUGUAAAAGUAUUGCAUGUUCAAGAGCAUGAUCAUUAAUUUCAUGAGUUCAUCUUCUGGUUAGUGUCCAUAAGAGUAGAUAACAGUGAACAAACUUACCUUCUAGUGGUCACUUUAAUUUGGACAUACCUUUCUACCUUUCAACUUUUGAGCUGUAAAUAUGCCUCUCUCUCCUUUCCGCCAAAGGGAACUGAAUUUCACUAGUUCCAUUUCUUUCUAAGUUUUUCGACUGUAGAGAAGUGAAUAGUCUCAAAAUUAAUUGGGCUCCCAUGUACCAUGAUUGUAUUCCAAUGCUCAAGACAUGCAGUUGGAACUGAUAAUACUCUCCAUAGUCUUCAACUAAAUCUUUCUCCAGAAUCUCGUACGGAUUUUUCUUUGAUCCAGGUAUGUUAAGGCUAUCCCUUAUUUCUUUUUGGCAUGAUCUAUACGAUACAAACGGAACGAGUAAAUACACAACUUCUAUAAAUGACUCUAUUCAUAGAAAUAGUAGAGGUUCCUAUGUUCUUAAUUUCCCAUAUGUCUUAUUAUUCUAUCGUUUGUUCAUAGGUCUUAGAAAAAUACGUAAGUUGGUAAAGUUUAUUUCAUGAUAUUAAUCAGAGACAUAAUGGUCUUAUGACGUACCAAGAGAUUUUAUUAAUGUAUCUCAUAUGCAUUUCAUGUAUUUAUACAUGUACAUUGACCCAUGACAAGAUGACGUUAUAUACGCGUAUAUAUAUAUAUGGGAUAUGGGAUAUGGGAAAGAUUAUGAUGUUAUAUACACGCCACCACCUGAUCAGCUGGUAUACGUUGAUGAUAUUGCCCACAGUGGCUGAGAUGAUAUGAUGGGAUGCCCUCAGAGGCUUGAUGAUGUUAUGUACACACAGACCUAUGCAUUACAUGAAGUUUAUAUGCAUAUGCAUGACAUUAUAAAUAUUUCAUUAUUUACAGAGCUAUCCAGACUUACAGGUUGAGUCCUUUACUCCAUGUUUCUUCCAUGUUCUUUAUAUACUGAUUUACAUGCCUUACAUACUCAGUACAUUAUUCAUAUUGACGUCCUUUUGUUGGGGGUGUUGUAUUCAUGCCUGCAGGUAUAGAUAAUCAGUUUGACGAGCCCUUACAAUAGACGAGAUUGGCUUCAGCGAAGGAUCGGUAAGACUCCACUUCAUCCGGAGUACAACCGAAUCUAUGAGUCACCAUGUCAGAAGUUUUCUACAGACUUAUGGGUAGACCGGUUCCCAGUCCCAUUUGAUGUCAAAUAAUCUUAGAGGGUUUGUAGGCAAAUGUUUAGUUUGUACAGUAUGUCAGAGGCCUUAACGGCUCAUAUGUAUUCAUGUUUUUAAGAACAAUAGUUUAUUGAUACAGUGUUUCUCACUUAUAGUUCUACAUUAUGAGUUGUGGCCAUGUGGG